AAGGUUCUGCUGGAGUUAUUUCCGCAGCCUGGGAGGCUACAAUUCAUCUUUGCUGUGAUCUGGGAGGCUACAAUCCAAAGUUUUGUUUUUCACUUAACUGGCUCCCAGGUCAACAAGAUAUUUGCGGAAAAUGCAUUUGAUGCUGUGAUGCACUUUGCUGCAGUUGCUUAUGUGGGUGAAAGCACACUGGAACCCCUUAGCUGUUUGAUAUAAUGAGGGGACAAGGCAGGCAUGGCCAGCGACUGGUGGGAAAGCAUGCGACAAGUCAGACAUUGCCUGUCGAUGCAACUUCGACUCCUACAAGGCGAGAGCUAUUUGGAGCGUUAUUCGGUUCGUUUGCAGUGAAUAGAACGCGAUGCAUUAUUGGAAAAGCAGCUGUGUCCGUAGAGAUAUCAUAUUUCGAACAUAUUUUUAUAAUUAUAUACUCAUACAUACCAUUAUGUACUAUCUUAUACAUACCAUUUAUCUAUUUUUAUAAUUAUAUA
Panicum virgatum (switchgrass) is the source of this 485-nucleotide long non-coding RNA. RefSeq lists it as uncharacterized. The transcript is spliced from 2 exons. Lineage: Eukaryota; Viridiplantae; Streptophyta; Magnoliopsida; Poales; Poaceae. The record is from RefSeq and is a predicted model, not a curated record.